Molecule: small RNA, 125 nt
Filed under: Marmota monax (woodchuck)
Lineage: Eukaryota; Metazoa; Chordata; Mammalia; Rodentia; Sciuridae
Source: RNAcentral
GCCGGGCCCGGGGGCACAUGCCUGUAAUCCCAGCGGCUCAGGAGGUUGAGGCAGGAGGAUCGCAAGUUCAAAGUCAGCCUCAGCAAAAGUGAGGCACUAAGCAACUCAGCGAGACCCUGUCUCUA